This 346-nucleotide long non-coding RNA is filed under the name Mytilus galloprovincialis (Mediterranean mussel). The record is from RNAcentral. Lineage: Eukaryota; Metazoa; Mollusca; Bivalvia; Mytilida; Mytilidae.
GGCGUCCGUAAAAUUUACGAAGGGAUGAUUUCAACUUCACCAUUUGGAACUCUUGGUUUAAUAGCUUCCUUGUGAGUAGUAACCCUCUAUCAAGAAAAUCAUGAUAGGAAAUGCAAGCACGGGAAUAUCGUAUCAAUUGGGAGAUAUAUACCCCGUAUGCAGGUGCUGCUGGAAUGUUGCUACUUAGAAAUGGAAAGUUCACAAUUGGAAAGCUGAAAUCAUCUCUUUUGUCGUAAAGUUUUAUUUUCAACCGACCCUCAUUGUCAAUUUCUAGAUGUAAGUCAAGAUAUGAAGCCGACCUAACUGUAUCUGUAGUAUCCUUUAUCUCCAAUUCGAUGGGAUAGAU